GGUUUUUUAGCUCAGUUGGUUAGAGUGUGCGACUCAUAAUCGCCCGGUCGCUGGUUCAAGUCCAGCAAGGGCCACCA
RNAcentral lists this transfer RNA (77 nucleotides) under Salmonella enterica. RNAcentral describes it as "tRNA-Met". It matches the Rfam family "tRNA". Rfam says of the family: Transfer RNA (tRNA) molecules are approximately 80 nucleotides in length. Their secondary structure includes four short double-helical elements and three loops (D, anti-codon, and T loops). Further hydrogen bonds mediate the characteristic L-shaped molecular structure. tRNAs have two regions of fundamental functional importance: the anti-codon, which is responsible for specific mRNA codon recognition, and the 3' end, to which the tRNAs corresponding amino acid is attached (by aminoacyl-tRNA synthetases). tRNAs cope with the degeneracy of the genetic code in two manners: having more than one tRNA (with a specific anti-codon) for a particular amino acid; and 'wobble' base-pairing, i.e. permitting non-standard base-pairing at the 3rd anti-codon position. Lineage: Bacteria; Pseudomonadati; Pseudomonadota; Gammaproteobacteria; Enterobacterales; Enterobacteriaceae. The record is from RNAcentral. RNAcentral also lists the same sequence under 4 other names.